GACCUUGAAAAACGCCGCGUUUCACGCCAUAUACGGAAUGUCUCGCAAGGGACUAUGGACAUAAACGCGCUCGUAAUAAGCGGAUCGGACCCGGGGGCGGUACCCGGCGACUCCACCAAACAUCCGGUGUUGGCGGAUCAUGGGGUCGAAAUAGGAUCGACGGACGUCUAAAGGGGUUGCUUUGUCUCGGUGAGCUACCACCGAUAUCGGUGCAGAAAAGUACAAUUGCCAACAACAAUCGUGCUCCGGUUGCUCUGGCUGCGUAAGCAGUUCGAGGAAUCGAAAUCUAAGUCCUUGCGCCUAGCAGCGUAAGGCGGGGUUCGCAGGCACCUGGCAACAGAAGCCUGCACU
This 351-nucleotide transfer-messenger RNA is filed under the name Palleronia pontilimi. RNAcentral's name for it is "Alphaproteobacteria transfer-messenger RNA". It matches the Rfam family "Alphaproteobacteria transfer-messenger RNA". Rfam says of the family: Bacterial tmRNA, also known as 10Sa RNA or SsrA, is named for its dual tRNA and mRNA-like properties. Its role is to liberate the mRNA from a stalled ribosome. Lineage: Bacteria; Pseudomonadati; Pseudomonadota; Alphaproteobacteria; Rhodobacterales; Roseobacteraceae. The record is from Rfam by way of RNAcentral.